RNAcentral lists this ribosomal RNA (358 nucleotides) under uncultured bacterium. Its description in RNAcentral is "bacterial SSU rRNA". It matches the Rfam family "Bacterial small subunit ribosomal RNA", at positions 1 to 334 of the family's 1533-position model. The record is from RNAcentral.
ACAGAUCGUUCUAGAGUUUGAUCCUAGGCUCAGGAGAACGCUGGCGGCGUGCUUAACACAUGCAAGUCGAGCGGGGGAUCUCGGACAGAAGUCUUCGGAUGGAAGGAAGAGAUUCUAGCGGCGGACGGGUGAGUAACGCGUGAGCAAUCUGUCCCAGACAGGGGGAUAACACUUGGAAACAGGUGCUAAUACCGCAUAAGACCACAGCAUCGCAUGGUGCAGAGGUAAAAGGAGAAAUCCGGUUUGGGGUGAGCUCGCGUCCGAUUAGCUAGUUGGUGAGGUAACGGCCCACCAAGGCGACGAUCGGUAGCCGACCUGAGAGGGUGAUCGGCCACAUUGGAACUGAGACACGGUCCAA